Molecule: unclassified non-coding RNA, 392 nt
Filed under: uncultured fungus
Lineage: Eukaryota; Fungi
Description: sequence contains ITS1
Source: RNAcentral
CGUACCAGACCAAUAUCGGAGCCGCUGAACAGGUCGCCGCUGCUGGCGGCCCAAUUGGGAUGCGGAAUCCAUUCAUCGGCACUUACGGGGCCGUUUUCGAACUCGACAUGGAGCGAGUCGAUCCCGGCACCCUGCAAGUCGGUGCCCUCGAUGACGUGGGCCGCCGUCAGGACCCACUCCGGCUCGAUCAAGACGCCGGUCGCCCCGAUUCCAGUCGCAUUCACGUGCGCCCCGAUGCGACCCACCGACGCAAAGCGGGCAUCGGCUGCAAGGUCCGCGUGCGGUCCAACCGAAACGUCGUGACGGAUGACGGCGGCACCUGCAGACGCUGAAAGAGCUGAAAGAUACGUCCACAACGUUAGCGACACUAGCAAACUGCCAAAGCUGCGAAU